CAGCAGCCGCGGUAAUACGAAGGGGGCUAGCGUUGUUCGGAUUUACUGGGCGUAAAGGGCGCGUAGGCGGACUGAUAAGUCAGGGGUGAAAUCCCAAGGCUCAACCUUGGAACUACCUUUGAUACUGUUUGUCUUGAGUUCGAGAGAGGUAAGUGGAACUGCGAGUGUAGAGGUGAAAUUCGUAGAUAUUCGCAAGAACACCAGUGGCGAAGGCGGCCCACUGGCCCGAUACUGACGCUGAGGCACGAAAGCGUGGGGAGCAAACAGGAUUAGAUACCCGAGUAGUCCCUGUCUCUUAUAC
Molecule: ribosomal RNA, 301 nt
Filed under: uncultured bacterium
Lineage: Bacteria
Description: partial 16S ribosomal RNA
Rfam family: Bacterial small subunit ribosomal RNA
Source: RNAcentral